Non-coding RNA from Pelobates cultripes (western spadefoot toad), 806 nucleotides. Lineage: Eukaryota; Metazoa; Chordata; Amphibia; Anura; Pelobatidae. The record is from the annotation of a GenBank genome assembly.
UUCAAAUAGAGAUGGUACAAUAUGUAAAACAAGAGGACAAAUAAAAAGGGAUAUGGUGUAGUAUUUCUGAUGCUGGUGAUUAUAAAGAAGAGAAAGGAAAUGCACUUACAAUCUUCUAGAGCUUGAAAUCAGCUCCGGAUAUAUGCGCUUGGAUGGUACAAUCCCCGUCUGUGGAUAUGCUGAGCUUGGCCUCGGUCUUGAUCUAUUGUCAGCAGCGAGUGGUGGUCAGUUUCGUAGAGGUGGUCUCUUUUAAAGUGCCGUUUUGUCACAGUGAGAGUUCACCAGCUUAUAAAAUUAAAAUAAAAAACAGAAGAUAGUGCUUUCUGUAUAGCUAAAAAAAAUAAUAAAAGGAGGUAUACUCACGAACGGAGAGCACAGUAAAGUUCUGCUCAAUCCUUUAUAGCUUAGGGGGUAUCUUCCCCACCUAGGAAACCAAAGUAUGAAUCCUCCAGGUAAAAAUCUUCAGAGAUAAAAACUGGUAGUCCAAGUUCAAUAAAAACUAGUUUUAUUUAUAACCAAAUAAAAAAAUAAAAGUAGUAUAAAACACCAAUAAAACGGUAACGCGUUUCACCUUCACAGAGGCUUUUUCAAAGUGUAUAUUUUAACGUAAUUUAUGAUUGACCGAAUGUGUCUUUGAUAAAUACUGCAUUCGCUUGCCGUUGCAUUAUCUUUUGGCUUGGCACACUGUGAUAUAAAGCCGCUACAUAAAAGUUUGCAUAUAAUUGAAAGUAAAUAUCAUUAACCAAUACUACAUUCUCCUGUCAAAUGAAAACACUUGGCUUGGCACGAUGUGAUUUAAAGCCCCU